Molecule: unclassified non-coding RNA, 201 nt
Filed under: soil metagenome
Description: partial contains 5.8S ribosomal RNA, internal transcribed spacer 2, and large subunit ribosomal RNA
Source: RNAcentral
AAGACUAUAGACCUGCGGAGUACCUGCGGAAGGAUCAUUAACGAUUUCGGUGUAAAAAACCGUUUUCUACCUAUGUCUACGCGUACCACUUGUUUCCUCGGGGGGCUUGCCCCCCGCUAGGACCCUUUAUCAAACCUUUUUGUAAUAGCAGUCAGCGUCUGAUACUACGUUAAUUAUUAAAACUUUUAACAACGGAUCUCU